Molecule: long non-coding RNA, 127 nt
Organism: Herpailurus yagouaroundi (jaguarundi)
Lineage: Eukaryota; Metazoa; Chordata; Mammalia; Carnivora; Felidae
Exons: 3
Source: RefSeq, a predicted model, not a curated record
GUGGAUGAAUAUGCAGAGCAUGAAGGACUGUCAGGGCAGUAAAAUUAUUCCAUAUAUUAUGAUGAUGGAUACGUAUCAUUACACAUGCACCAAAUCCAUACAAUGGAAGAUGCACACAUCUGAACUC